RNAcentral lists this ribosomal RNA (497 nucleotides) under uncultured bacterium. RNAcentral's name for it is "partial 16S ribosomal RNA". It matches the Rfam family "Bacterial small subunit ribosomal RNA", at positions 28 to 507 of the family's 1533-position model. The record is from RNAcentral.
GAUGAACGCUGGCGGCGUGCCUAAUACAUGCAAGUCGAGCGAACAGACGAGGAGCUUGCUCCUCUGACGUUAGCGGCGGACGGGUGAGUAACACGUGGAUAACCUACCUAUAAGACUGGGAUAACUUCGGGAAACCGGAGCUAAUACCGGAUAAUAUAUUGAACCGCAUGGUUCAAUAGUGAAAGACGGUUUUGCUGUCACUUAUAGAUGGAUCCGCGCCGCAUUAGCUAGUUGGUAAGGUAACGGCUUACCAAGGCAACGAUGCGUAGCCGACCUGAGAGGGGGAUCGGCCACACUGGAACUGCGACACGGUCCAGACUCCUACGGGAGGCAGCAGUAGGGAAUCUUCCGCAAUGGGGGAAGGCCUGACGGAGCAACGCCGGGUGAGUGAUGAAGGUCUUCGGAUCGUAAAACUCUGUUAUAGGGGAAGAACAAAUGUGUAAGUAACUAUGCACGUCUUGACGGUACCUAAUCAGAAAGCCACGGCUAACUACGUG